RNAcentral lists this unclassified non-coding RNA (313 nucleotides) under plant metagenome. RNAcentral describes it as "partial contains 5.8S ribosomal RNA, internal transcribed spacer 2, and large subunit ribosomal RNA". The stretch from base 1 to 105 matches the Rfam family "5.8S ribosomal RNA", at positions 50 to 154 of the family's 154-position model. The record is from RNAcentral.
GAAAUGCGAUACGUAGUGUGAAUUGCAGAAUUCAGUGAAUCAUCGAAUCUUUGAACGCACAUUGCGCCCUUUGGUAUUCCAAAGGGCAUGCCUGUUCGAGCGUCAUUUGUACCCUCAAGCUUUGCUUGGUGUUGGGCGUUUUUUGUCUUUGGCUCGCCCAAAGACUCGCCUUAAAACGAUUGGCAGCCGGCCUACUGGUUUCGCAGCGCAGCACAUUUUUGCGCUUGCAAUCAGCAAAAGAGGACGACAAUCCAUCAAGACUCCUUCUCACGUUUGACCUCGGAUCAGGUAGGGAUACCCGCUGAACUUAAGC